UUCUACCGGACGUGAACUGGACUCUCCGUGAGCUGGCCUGUGCUGCGGGGCUGCUGGGUGUCUCUGCAGGUGCAGGUUACUGCAUUUAGCGCUACUUGUGGAGAUGAAGCGCUCCUCCUGACCAGCUCACGACUCUGUGGAUGUGCUGGGAGAAUCACUUGAUACUCCCUCUGUCCUCCAGGUCAAUGAGCUAAACCUGCUGCUCUGUCCCACUGAACCUCACCAUGACACUUCAGUUGUCCUUCUG
This is a long non-coding RNA of Hemibagrus wyckioides, 247 nucleotides long. RefSeq lists it as uncharacterized. The transcript has 3 exons. NCBI's taxonomy places the organism in Eukaryota, Metazoa, Chordata, Actinopteri, Siluriformes, Bagridae. The record is from RefSeq and is a predicted model, not a curated record.